This 72-nucleotide transfer RNA is filed under the name Diaphorina citri (Asian citrus psyllid). It matches the Rfam family "tRNA". From Rfam's summary of the family: Transfer RNA (tRNA) molecules are approximately 80 nucleotides in length. Their secondary structure includes four short double-helical elements and three loops (D, anti-codon, and T loops). Further hydrogen bonds mediate the characteristic L-shaped molecular structure. tRNAs have two regions of fundamental functional importance: the anti-codon, which is responsible for specific mRNA codon recognition, and the 3' end, to which the tRNAs corresponding amino acid is attached (by aminoacyl-tRNA synthetases). tRNAs cope with the degeneracy of the genetic code in two manners: having more than one tRNA (with a specific anti-codon) for a particular amino acid; and 'wobble' base-pairing, i.e. permitting non-standard base-pairing at the 3rd anti-codon position. The record is from Rfam by way of RNAcentral. Lineage: Eukaryota; Metazoa; Arthropoda; Insecta; Hemiptera; Psyllidae.
ACCUAGGUGGUGUAGUGGUCAAGACGCUCGCCUGGUAAACAGGAGGGCGUGGGUUCAAUCCCAGCCAAGGUG